This 468-nucleotide ribosomal RNA is filed under the name uncultured bacterium. RNAcentral describes it as "partial 16S ribosomal RNA". It matches the Rfam family "Bacterial small subunit ribosomal RNA", at positions 28 to 507 of the family's 1533-position model. The record is from RNAcentral.
GGCGAACGCUGGCGGCGUGCUUAAUACAUGCAAGUCGAACGGAAAGGCCCUGCUUUUGUGGGGUGCUCGAGUGGCGAAAGGGUGUGUAACACGUGAGUAACCUCCCCUUGACUUUGGGAUAACUCCAGGAAACUGGGGCUAAUAUCGGAUAGGAGCUCCUGCUGCAUGGGGGGGGUUGGAAAGUUUCGGCGGUUGGGGAUGGACUCGCGGCUUAUCAGCUUGUUGGUGGGGUAGUGGCGUACCAAGGCUUUGACGGGUAGCCGGCCUGAGAGGGUGACCGGCCACAUUGGGACUGAGGUACGGCCCAGACGCCUACGGGAGGAAGCAGUGGAAAAUAUUGCGCAAUAGGCCGAAGCCUGAUGCAGCAACGCCGCGUGCGGGAUGACGGCUUUCGGGUUGUAAACCGCUUUCGCCUGUGACGAAGCGUGAGUGACGGUAAUGAGUAAAGAAGCAACGGCUAACUACGUG